UACGUAGGUGGCAAGCGUUGUCCGGAUUUAUUGGGUUUAAAGGGUGCGUAGGCGGGUUAUUAAGUCAGUGGUGAAAGCCUACAGCUUAACUGUAGAAUUGCCAUUGAUACUGAUGAUCUUGAGUAUGAUUGAGGUGGGCGGAAUGUGUCAUGUAGCGGUGAAAUGCUUAGAUAUGACACAGAACACCGAUUGCGAAGGCAGCUCACUAAGUCAUAACUGACGCUGAUGCACGAAAGCGUGGGGAGCAAACAGG
RNAcentral lists this ribosomal RNA (253 nucleotides) under uncultured bacterium. RNAcentral's name for it is "partial 16S ribosomal RNA". It matches the Rfam family "Bacterial small subunit ribosomal RNA", at positions 524 to 776 of the family's 1533-position model. The record is from RNAcentral.